AUUGAACGCUGGCGGCAUGCUUUACACAUGCAAGUCGAACGGCAGCGCGGGCUUCGGCCUGGCGGCGAGUGGCGAACGGGUGAGUAAUACAUCGGAACGUGCCCAGUAGUGGGGGAUAGCUCGGCGAAAGCCGGAUUAAUACCGCAUACGACCUGAGGGUGAAAGCGGGGGAUCUUCGGACCUCGCGCUAUUGCAGCGGCCGAUGGCAGAUUAGCUAGUUGGUGGGGUAAAGGCCUACCAAGGCGACGAUCUGUAGCUGGUCUGAGAGGACGACCAGCCACACUGGGACUGAGACACGGCCCAGACUCCUACGGGAGGCAGCAGUGGGGAAUAUUGGACAAUGGGCGAAAGCCUGAUCCAGCAAUGCCGCGUGUGUGAUGAAGGCCUUCGGGUUGUAAAGCACUUUUGGCGGGAACGAAAAGGACUGUGCUAAUACCACGGUUCGAUGACGGUACCCGCAGAAUAAGCACCGGCUAACUACGUG
RNAcentral lists this ribosomal RNA (484 nucleotides) under uncultured bacterium. Its description in RNAcentral is "partial 16S ribosomal RNA". It matches the Rfam family "Bacterial small subunit ribosomal RNA", at positions 29 to 507 of the family's 1533-position model. The record is from RNAcentral.